UCACAAUGCCCGUGACCAGUGGUUGCAGGAUG
This 32-nucleotide non-coding RNA is filed under the name Mus musculus (house mouse). Lineage: Eukaryota; Metazoa; Chordata; Mammalia; Rodentia; Muridae. The record is from RNAcentral.